GCAAGUCGAACGAAGUAGCAAUACUUAGUGGCAGACGGGUGAGUAACAUGUGGGUAUCUACCCUUUGGCCUGGAAUAACACGAGGAAACUUGUGCUAAUACCGGAUAAGUCUUUACAGAGAAAGCUUUAUGCACCAUUGGAUGAGCCCGCACUUGAUUAGUUUGUUGGUAGGGUAAUGGCCUACCAAGACUGUGAUCAAUAGCUGAUUUGAGAGGAUGAUCAGCCACAUUGGGACUGAGACACGGCCCAAACUCCUACGGGAGGCAGCAGUGGGGAAUCUUGCACAAUGGAGGAAACUCUGAUGCAGCGAUGCCGCGUGAGUGAAGAAGGCCCUUGGGUUGUAAAGCUCUUUCGUCGGGGAAGAAAAUGACUGUACCCGAAUAAGAAGGUCCGGCUAACUUCGUGCCAGCAGCCGCGGUAAUACGAAGGGACCUAGCGUAGUUCGGAAUUACUGGGCUUAAAGAGUUCGUAGGUGGUUGAAAAAGUUGGUGGUGAAAUCCCAGAGCUUAACUCUGGAACUGCCAUCAAAACUUUUCAGCUAGAGUUUGAUAGAGGAAAGCAUAAUUUCUAGUGUAGAGGUGAAAUUCCGUAGAUAUU
This 597-nucleotide ribosomal RNA is filed under the name uncultured marine bacterium. Its description in RNAcentral is "bacterial SSU rRNA". It matches the Rfam family "Bacterial small subunit ribosomal RNA", at positions 57 to 698 of the family's 1533-position model. The record is from RNAcentral.